CACGUAGGGUGCGAGCGUUGUCCGGAAUUAUUGGGCGUAAAGAGCUCGUAGGCGGUGUGUCGCGUCGGCCGUGAAAACCUGCAGCUUAACUGUGGGCUUGCGGUCGAUACGGGCAUCACUGGAGUUCGGCAGGGGAUACUGGAAUUCCUGGUGUAGCGGUGAAAUGCGCAGAUAUCAGGAGGAACACCGGUGGCGAAGGCGGGUCUCUGGGCCGAUACUGACGCUGAGGAGCGAAAGCGUGGGGAGCGAACAGG
RNAcentral lists this ribosomal RNA (254 nucleotides) under uncultured bacterium. RNAcentral's name for it is "partial 16S ribosomal RNA". It matches the Rfam family "Bacterial small subunit ribosomal RNA", at positions 524 to 776 of the family's 1533-position model. The record is from RNAcentral.